GGCCAUAGCUCAAUGGUAGAGCACCUGCUUUACAUGUAGAAUGUCCCAGCUUCAAUCCCUGCCAUCACCA
Molecule: non-coding RNA, 70 nt
Organism: Podarcis lilfordi (Lilford's wall lizard)
Lineage: Eukaryota; Metazoa; Chordata; Lepidosauria; Squamata; Lacertidae
Source: the annotation of a GenBank genome assembly